Molecule: long non-coding RNA, 1048 nt
Filed under: Zonotrichia albicollis (white-throated sparrow)
Lineage: Eukaryota; Metazoa; Chordata; Aves; Passeriformes; Passerellidae
Description: lncRNA (ENSZALG00000017752.1)
Source: RNAcentral
AUGAGAUUGCUUGACCCAUUAUGCAGCCACAGCCAUAAGAAAUACACUGUGCUCCUGUUAUUGCUUUUUACCAUUUGCAACCCACUUGGAAAGUACAUCAAUUCAAUACUGGAAUGGUCAACAUGGAGAUAAGAAGACAGUUUUCUUCCCCAUGGUUUUAGUAUAAAAGGAUUUAUGCAGCUUUUACUGUUCUCAUUGAGGACUGGCCUGAGUCUUUCUUGCAUGUGAUUUUAUGGCUUGUUUGCUUUUCUGCAUUACUCAGUGGAUGUUGGUGAUAAGGUUGCAGUUUAUGAGUGGUUAAAUUUGUUAAUAUUAAUAGCUAGAGAUACCAAAAGCUGUUGUGCACUGCUGUGAUCAUAUUAACUUUCCAAGCAAAAUUUCCUGAACAGAAAUAGCUUGUCUGUCCUAGAUCAAAACAGCCAUCAGGCUUCCAUUUAAAAUUUCACUGAUUCUGCAUCUGUAUUCUAGUCUGGUUCAAGCCAAAGAACACUGUGUACAUUAGCAUUUCACAACUUAAUAAUUGUUCUCAAACAGUUUGAGUUUCUGUAGAGACUGUUGGAAUUUUAUCUAUUGCUUUUCUUAGAGAAAAAACAGUUCUAUUCAAAAUACUGCAAGGAAAAUUAACAGGGAAAUACUAAAAAAAGAAUGAGAGUAUAAAAUCUUUUUUCCCAAAUCUUUACAUAUAUUAAAUUCUUUGUGAAGCACUCAUUCAGUUAUGCUAGCAAAGGAUACCACAACAUUAAUUUGCAAAAUAGCAUGGAAGGUAAAGCUCUUCUGUUCUUUCACUUGUUGAAACCUUCAGUGAUACUGUUAAUCAACUAGAAGCACUGCUGGGCCCUGAGUUUUCAUCUUUUUAUGUAGGUGAAUGAAACAUUGACUGUUUGAUAUCAGUGUAUUUAUUGGCAAUUUGAAGAUUUUGUUCUUCCUGACAGGGCUUCUGAAUUUCCCUUUAUCUGCAGAAGUAUCAUUGAGAGGAAAAUAUAGGGAUGCAAGUCUAAUCAACUUUUUUCCUUUCGGAAACAAGUGCUCCAAUAGGUUUAUAUUAAAG